UGGCUAGAACAGACAGUCGCCGCGUAUCGCGUCAGGCAUACGGGGAGGAAAGUCCGGGCUGCACAGAGCGAAAUGCCAGCUAACGGCUGGGCGUGGCAACACGACGGAAAGUGGAACAGAAAGCAAAACCGCCGAUGGUUUUUUCAAACACAGGUAAGGGUGAAAAGGUGCGGUAAGAGCGCACCGCGUUGUUGGCAACAACACACGGCAGGCUAAACCCCAUUUGCAGCAAGACCAAACAGAACGCGCAGACGCUGCUCGCCGAGCGUUCGGGUAGGUUGCUUGAACUUGUUGGCAACGGCAAGUCUAGAGGAAUGACUGUCCAACGACAGAACCCGGCUUAUCGUUUUAACCAUGUG
RNAcentral lists this RNase P RNA (359 nucleotides) under Neisseria sp. RNAcentral describes it as "RNase P RNA component class A". It matches the Rfam family "Bacterial RNase P class A". Rfam says of the family: Ribonuclease P (RNase P) is a ubiquitous endoribonuclease, found in archaea, bacteria and eukarya as well as chloroplasts and mitochondria. Lineage: Bacteria; Pseudomonadati; Pseudomonadota; Betaproteobacteria; Neisseriales; Neisseriaceae. The record is from RNAcentral.